GGCGGCGUGGUUAAACAUGCAAGUCGAACGAGAAGGUUCCCUUUCGGGGAACCGGACAGUGGCGAAAGGGCGAGGAAUACAUGGGUAACGUACCCCGAGCACAGGGACAGCCGCGGGAAACCGCGGGUAAUACCUGAUGAGACCACAGUGCCAUACGGCACAGCGGUCAAAGGGUGGGUUCCUUCGGGAUCCUAUCGGCCUGGGAGCGGCCCAUGUCCUAUCAGCUUGUUGGUGAGGUAACGGCUCACCAAGGCGAUGACGGGUACCGGGACUGAGAGGUUGAUCCGGCGCAUUGGGACUGAGACACUGCCCAGACUCCUACGGGAGGCUGCAGUAACGAAUAUUCCACAAUGGACGAAAGUCUGAUGGAGCGACGCCGCGUGCAGGAUGAAGCUCCUCGGAGUGUAAACUGCAAUCCAGGGACCACCAAGCGAAGAGACCUAAUACGUCUCCGAGUUGAGGAAUCCCAGGGAAGCCACGGCUAACUUCGUGCCAGCAGCCGCGGUAAGACGAAGGUGGCUAGCGUUGUUCGGAAUCACUGGGCUUAAAGGGCACGCAGGCGGCCCGUCAAGCGUCUUGUGAAAUCCCUCGGCUCAACCGAGGAAUUGCGGGGCGAACUGACUGGGCUUGAGGCAGGUAGGGGCGAGUGGAACUCUUGGUGGAGCGGUGGAAUGCGUAGAUAUCAAGAGGAACGCCGGAGGCGAAGGCGACUCGCUGGGCCUGUCCUGACGCUGAGGUGCGAAAGCCAGGGGAGCGAACGGGAUUAGAUACCCCGGUAGUCCUGGCCCUAAACGAUGUCCACUAGGUCGGAGGUUCUCUGACGGAGUUCCGGCCGAAACAAAAGCGCUAAGUGGACCGCCUGGGGAGUACGGUCGCAAGGCUAAAACUCAAAGGAAUUGACGGGGGCUCACACAAGCGGUGGAGCAUGUUGCUCAAUUCGAUGCAACGCGAAAAACCUUAUCCUGGGCUUGACACGUACGGAUGCCCCCU
This 990-nucleotide ribosomal RNA is filed under the name uncultured Planctomycetota bacterium. RNAcentral's name for it is "bacterial SSU rRNA". It matches the Rfam family "Bacterial small subunit ribosomal RNA", at positions 38 to 1002 of the family's 1533-position model. Lineage: Bacteria; Pseudomonadati; Planctomycetota. The record is from RNAcentral.